RNAcentral lists this ribosomal RNA (450 nucleotides) under uncultured bacterium. RNAcentral describes it as "bacterial SSU rRNA". It matches the Rfam family "Bacterial small subunit ribosomal RNA", at positions 354 to 796 of the family's 1533-position model. The record is from RNAcentral.
GUGGGGAAUUUUGGACAAUGGGCGAAAGCCUGAUCCAGCCAUUCCGCGUGAGUGAAGAAGGCCUUCGGGUUGUAAAGCUCUUUCGGCAGGAACGAAAUGGUUACGGUUAAUAACCGUGACUUCUGACGGUACCUGAAGAAGAAGCACCGGCUAACUACGUGCCAGCAGCCGCGGUAAUACGUAGGGUGCGAGCGUUAAUCGGAAUUACUGGGCGUAAAGCGUGCGCAGGCGGUUUUGUAAGUCAGAUGUGAAAGCCCCGGGCUUAACCUGGGAAUGGCGUUUGAAACUACAAGGCUAGAGUGUGUCAGAGGGGGGUAGAAUUCCACGUGUAGCAGUGAAAUGCGUAGAGAUGUGGAGGAAUACCGAUGGCGAAGGCAGCCCCCUGGGAUAACACUGACGCUCAUGCACGAAAGCGUGGGGAGCAAACAGGAUUAGAUACCCGAGUAGUCC